GAUGAACGCUGGCGGCGUGCCUAAUACAUGCAAGUCGAGCGAACGGACGAGAGGCUUGCUUCUCUGAUGUUAGCGGCGGACGGGUGAGUAACACGUGGAUAACCUACCUAUAAGACUGGGAUAACUUCGGGAAACCGGAGCUAAUACCGGAUAAUAUUUUGAACCGCAUGGUUCAAAAGUGAAAGACGGUCUUGCUGUCACUUAUAGAUGGAUCCGCGCUGCAUUAGCUAGUUGGUAAGGUAACGGCUUACCAAGGCAACGAUGCAUAGCCGACCUGAGAGGGUGAUCGGCCACACGGGAACUGAGACACGGUCAAGACUCCUACGGGAGGCAGCAGUAGGGAAUCUUCCGCAAUGGGCGAAAGCCUGACGGAGCAACGCCGCGUGAGUGAUGAAGGUCUUCGGAUCGGAAAACUCUGUUAUUAGGGAAGAACAUAUGUGUAAGUAACUGUGCACAUCUUGACGGUACCUAAUCAGAAAGCCACGGCUAACUACGUG
RNAcentral lists this ribosomal RNA (497 nucleotides) under uncultured bacterium. Its description in RNAcentral is "partial 16S ribosomal RNA". It matches the Rfam family "Bacterial small subunit ribosomal RNA", at positions 28 to 507 of the family's 1533-position model. The record is from RNAcentral.